Molecule: long non-coding RNA, 323 nt
Filed under: Nicotiana benthamiana
Lineage: Eukaryota; Viridiplantae; Streptophyta; Magnoliopsida; Solanales; Solanaceae
Description: long non-coding RNA (NBEN_LNC003616)
Source: RNAcentral
CAAACUAGUGAGGCCCCCAAAUGUGUGUUGACCUUUUUCUGUCCGGCUUCUCCGAGGUCAUUCCACCACAGCCGCAGCUCCAAUGGAAUUUUGUUCAUUAUCGUACUCAUUCUUCACAUUUACUAGGGCGGAUUAGUACUCUCAAAUUAUAAAAUCUAACAUUUAUGAAAACAGGGACCGACUUUGCGAAUACGGCCUCUCAACACUUCGGUAAGAAGGUUUUUCUGGUUGUGCUUGCUUACCGACCGAAAUAAAAUUCAAUGGCAGCCAUUUGCGUAAGAUCAACCUUCUGGCAUCCCCUAUAGUAUCAUUCAGCUAUCACC